GGUCCCAUGGCUCAGUGGAAGAGCGUUCCGUUCACACCGGAAAGGUCGCUGGUUCGAACCCAGCUGGGACCACCA
RNAcentral lists this transfer RNA (75 nucleotides) under Corynebacterium halotolerans YIM 70093 = DSM 44683. Its description in RNAcentral is "tRNA-Val (CAC) (tRNA-Val-CAC-1-1)". It matches the Rfam family "tRNA". Rfam says of the family: Transfer RNA (tRNA) molecules are approximately 80 nucleotides in length. The record is from RNAcentral. Lineage: Bacteria; Bacillati; Actinomycetota; Actinomycetes; Mycobacteriales; Corynebacteriaceae.